RNAcentral lists this long non-coding RNA (976 nucleotides) under Marmota monax (woodchuck). Lineage: Eukaryota; Metazoa; Chordata; Mammalia; Rodentia; Sciuridae. The record is from RNAcentral.
GGAAUCUGGCCACUGAUCUGGGGACGCUCAGGACAGCCGGCGCUUUUAAUAUCCGCCCUCCACAGCCUCGUCAUCUCCACUGGAGAUGGCUGUGCUGAUUGUACUGCUGCAAAGCUGGAGAUGGGCAGGGGUCUCCAUGCCCUGGUUAUUUCAUUAAGAAGCCAUCGAGAUGCUCUCCAGGGGAGACAGGUGUGAUGAGGUCGAUCAGGACUCCAGGAGUCCAGGUUUCUAGUUCCUUCUAACCCCAGGAUCCUACAAUUUGGGCUGUGGCCACACAACAUGGCUCACCUGCGCUACGUACGGUGGUGAUUUAAACAGGUGUGAGCGUCUCCGGUGCCUGGUGGUUUACGCACAACUCUCCAUGGGCACCUCACAGCCACCGGCGGGCAUGCCAGGCCAGGAUCCCUAGAUGUGGACCCUGUACAAGGGAAGAUUCCUGGCCACGUGGCUUCUGGAGACAAACUUCCAGCGGAAAUAGGCAAAGGGGACAGGAGGUGGUAGGGGAAGGUAGGAAGGCAGGAUUCGGUUUUAGGCCAAGGCUAUAGAGGGAGCUUUCCUCCUCCCAAGUUGAGCACCUUUCACCUGCCCUGGCUGCCAGCAAGCUGGGCUUCCAAGUCCCUGCACCCUCCGGCCACUGGCUGAAUAAACUCCCAAGAAUGUGCCUACAAAGUGGCCAUAGUAGCCCCAUGGCCAGGCAAUGCAGGAGCCUCGAGGCCAGCGGAAGAGUGGAGAGAGGAGAGGAAAAGGACCCAAGGGGAUCGGGUAGAGGCUGCCAGUGUCUGCCUCAGGGAGCUCUGAAGGUCUCCAACCUACAGACUCAGACACUGAGGCUCCACGGGCCUGGAGCUGUCCCUGGAGAGAGCACAGGGUCGGGAUUCCAACCUGCUCCCCAGCGCCCGUUCCUCCCCGCCCGCGUACUGCGAUCACUCCACCAGGGGCCUCUGAGGACCGACGGCUGGAAGCUUCGACCUCUCCC